UGAUUAAUCUGCUCAUCAAGGUUUCCAUGAGCGUUCGAAAGGACCGAAUCCAAGCUCAUCUUCUCGUUGCUUCUUUAUUUAAUCAGAAAUUGAGAUCCCUUCGAUUUUUGCUUCUACUGUACAAGCUAUCCCCAGAUUACUUCUCCUGAAGAAGAAGAAAUGAAGCCCUAGAUUUCACUCUCUUCGAAUUCCAAGAGAUAGAGAGAGAGAGAGGAAGCGAAGGAAAGAAAGAAAGAAAGAAAGAAACAGCGGUGGUGAAGAAAUAGAGAGAGAGCGCCCUCUCCGUUCCCUUUUGUUCGAUAAUCACCGCUCCUUUUUCU
RNAcentral lists this unclassified non-coding RNA (320 nucleotides) under Hevea brasiliensis (rubber tree). The record is from RNAcentral. Lineage: Eukaryota; Viridiplantae; Streptophyta; Magnoliopsida; Malpighiales; Euphorbiaceae.